RNAcentral lists this ribosomal RNA (886 nucleotides) under uncultured fungus. RNAcentral's name for it is "eukaryotic LSU rRNA". The stretch from base 205 to 886 matches the Rfam family "Eukaryotic large subunit ribosomal RNA", at positions 1 to 667 of the family's 3401-position model. The record is from RNAcentral. Lineage: Eukaryota; Fungi.
AGUUCUCAAACCAUGCUGAUUUUAUUGGCGUGGCUUUGGAUGUGGGGGUUUCUGUUUGCGGGCUUUUGAAGUCGGCUCCCCUGAAAUGCAUUAGUGGUAUCUGAGCAGAGACUACUUACAGGUGUGAUAAAUUAUCUAUCUAUGCCUCGGUAUGCUGCAUGAAACAGAUUGCACCGCUUAUAACGAGUGGAAAUUUGACAAGUUUGACCUCAAAUCAGGUAGGACUACCCGCUGAACUUAAGCAUAUCAAUAAGCGGAGGAAAAGAAACUAACAAGGAUUCCCCUAGUAACUGCGAGUGAAGCGGGAAAAGCUCAAAUUUGAAAUCUGGCGGUUUUUGACCGUCCGAGUUGUAAUCUAGAGAAGUGUUACCUGUGCUGGACCGUGUAAAAGUCUCCUGGAAUGGAGCAUCACAGAGGGUGAGAAUCCCGUCUUUGACAUGGACAACCAGUGCGUCGUGGUGCGCUCUCAAAGAGUCGAGUUGUUUGGGAAUGCAGCUCAAAAUGGGUGGUAAAUGCCAUCUAAAGCUAAAUAUUGGCGAGAGACCGAUAGCGAACAAGUACCGUGAGGGAAAGAUGAAAAGCACUUUGGAAAGAGAGUUAAACAGUACGUGAAAUUGCUGAAAGGGAAACGCUUGAAGUCAGUCACGUCGGCUAGAAAUCAGCCUUGCUUCUGCUCGGUGUACUUUCUGGUUGACGGGUCAGCAUCAAUUUCGACCGCUGGACAAAGUCUUUGGGAAUGUGGCAUCCUCGGAUGUGUUAUAGCCCAUCGUCGCAUGCAGUGGUUGGGAUUGAGGAACUCAGCACGCCGCAAGGCCGGGUUUCGACCACGUUCGUGCUUAGGAUGCUGGCAUAAUGGCUUUAAUCGACCCGUCUUGAAACACGGACC